CCAUACUAGCAUUUUACACUUAGCAUCUAUUUAAGAGCUAACCAGAGUAACAACCUCGUCAACUAAAACAUCGACUGGUUAUUGACUAGCUGACCAGUUAACGAACUACAGCGUCGUAAACCGCUCUGUAAUUUGUGCCAAAGUGCAUCUCACUAAGCGUACCUCCCAUUAGUGAGUGCACCACACUACAACAGAAUUCACACUGUAAUAGAAUUCUACCAACUAUUCUUAUUCCUCAUCUGCUCAUUGAUCCUCAUCACCAUGUCUAAAUCAUGUGAUAAUGACAUCAACAUCCGGAAAAGAAUGGUCAAUAUGAGGAGCUCAGAGAAAAUAGCAGUAACAUUGGAUUUUACCAUAACUAGUAGGCCCUCAUGCUCUGCUUGGCGCCGGAAGCAUUGCUAAAUAUGUUUGUAGCUAUUGCUAAUUCGAAAUGUCCCGGUGGUAGUUACUGGUUAGCCUCCAUAUCUUAGUUGACUAUUGGGGCUGCAAGGUAGUGCUGGCAUAUAUAUAUGUAUAUAUGUAUAUAUAUUUUUGGUGAAAUGUUAUCAUAUGAAGAUUGAGUGAUGUUCGAGUCUCGUCUGGGA
RNAcentral lists this small RNA (584 nucleotides) under Histoplasma capsulatum. Its description in RNAcentral is "hypothetical RNA". Lineage: Eukaryota; Fungi; Ascomycota; Eurotiomycetes; Onygenales; Ajellomycetaceae. The record is from RNAcentral. RNAcentral also lists the same sequence under 1 other name.